AGUGAACGCUGGCGGUAGGCCUAACACAUGCAAGUCGAACGGCAGCACAGUAAGAGCUUGCUCUUACGGGUGGCGAGUGGCGGACGGGUGAGGAAUACAUCGGAAUCUACUUUUUCGUGGGGGAUAACAUAGGGAAACUUACGCUAAUACCGCAUACGACCUAUGGGUGAAAGCAGGGGAUCUUCGGACCUUGCGCGAUUGAAUGAGCCGAUGUCGGAUUAGCUAGUUGGCGGGGUAAAGGCCCACCAAGGCGACGAUCCGUAGCUGGUCUGAGAGGAUGAUCAGCCACACUGGAACUGAGACACGGUCCAGACUCCUACGGGAGGCAGCAGUGGGGAAUAUUGGACAAUGGGCGCAAGCCUGAUCCAGCCAUACCGCGUGGGUGAAGAAGGCCUUCGGGUUGUAAAGCCCUUUUGUUGGGAAAGAAAAGCAGCAGGUUAAUACCCCGCUGUUCUGACGGUACCCAAAGAAUAAGCACCGGCUAACUUCGUG
Molecule: ribosomal RNA, 492 nt
Filed under: uncultured bacterium
Lineage: Bacteria
Description: partial 16S ribosomal RNA
Rfam family: Bacterial small subunit ribosomal RNA
Source: RNAcentral